CAGUGUCUCACUUCAGCACACCCUGAGAGUCCUUGUCUGGAGACCUUGAGUGCUAAAAAGCACAGAGGCCUCUUCUGGGAGAGGGAACCGGGGCAUUAAAAAAAAAGUAAAAUAAAUAAUAACUGGUGCAAGCAGAUAAGAAAGUUUUCCACUAAGCAGGAACAAGCCGUCCUGAAUGUUUCCCUGUCUGGCGCGCAGCUUCUGACGUCCACGGCAUCGUGCAGAUAGGAGAUAAUAACUGAAACAAUUUCACUGUUAACUUGAGGGAUUUGGACGUAGCAGGCGAUGAGACUUUGCAGAGGAAUCCGGGCUAUGUGUAUCACUGUGGCGCACGUAGCAAACUGUUUUUUUUUUGUUUUUUUUUUCCCUCCCCGCAGAUGCUUCUUCACAGGUGUGCCUCCGUGGCUUGAAACCAAGGAGGGAGGAUAAGUGCUGAGUGGGCACAGACAACAGCUACACUGUCUUUGCUAAACAUCUUCAAGGUCCCUGUGGAGGGAUAAAUGGCCAACAGGAGGUGCUUCCACGGGAGACACUCAUCCGGACCUUAAUGGGGUCCCAGCACGCCGCGGCGGGACAGCAGGGCUCGUUGCACUCGCUGUUCCUUUUUCCUAUGCAUAUACUUCUUUGAGAUGUAACUUUAAAGAGGCAUAAGGCAUGGGAAAAUGGGGCUGCUGAGGUAUUCCGCCAUGCAGGCAGUCAUUUCAUCAUCCUCCCCGCCGCACGGUGGCUGACCUCACAGUGUGUGUACACUGACACACAUGCGCGUGCACGCUCCGGGCUUCAGCUUGCCUUGGACUCACAAGAGGAAGACAAGAGGAAGAAGAUACAGGUCAUUUUUAUGUCUCUGUGAUUUGUUUUUAAGUAAAGUUGUGACUGAGAUUUCAUCAGAUGUGUUCAUGAUGGUGUUGUGUGGUGCUACUUUGGUGUUGGAACACUUGUAUUUUUUAUUUAUUUAUUCUUUUUUUUUUUUAAAGCUGUUUGUUAAAUAAAGACAUUAAAUACCGGA
Molecule: long non-coding RNA, 1006 nt
Organism: Mugil cephalus (flathead mullet)
Lineage: Eukaryota; Metazoa; Chordata; Actinopteri; Mugiliformes; Mugilidae
Exons: 2
Source: RefSeq, a predicted model, not a curated record